GGCGCGCCUAACACAUGCAAGUCGAACGGCACCCCUCUCCGGAGGGAAGCGAGUGGCGAACGGCUGAUUAUUUCGUGGAGAACCUGCCCCCUCCCCCGGGAUAGCCGCCCGAAAGGACGGGUAAUACCGGAUACCCCGGGGUGCCGCAUGGCUCCCCGGCUAAAGCCCCGACGGGAGGGGAUGGCUCCGCGGCCCAUCAGGUAGACGGCGGGGUGACGGCCCACCGUGCCGACAACGGGUAGCCGGGUUGAGAGACCGACCGGCCAGAUUGGGACUGAGACACGGCCCAGACUCCUACGGGAGGCAGCAGUGGGGAAUCUUGCGCAAUGGGGGGAACCCUGACGCAGCGACGCCGCGUGCGGGACGGAGGCCUUCGGGUCGUAAACCGCUUUCAGCAGGGAAGAGUCAAGACUGUACCUGCAGAAGAAGCCCCGGCUAACUACGUGCCAGCAGCCGCGGUAAUACGUAGGGGGCGAGCGUUAUCCGGAUUCAUUGGGCGUAAAGCGCGCGUAGGCGGCCCGGCAGGCCGGGGGUCGAAGCGGGGGGCUCAACCCCCCGAAGCCCCCGGAACCUCCGCGGCUUGGGUCCGGUAGGGGAGGGUGGAACACCCGGUGUAGCGGUGGAAUGCGCAGAUAUCGGGUGGAACACCGGUGGCGAAGGCGGCCCUCUGGGCCGAGACCGACGCUGGGGCGCGAAAGCUGGGGGAGCGAACAGGAUUAGAUACCCUGGUAGUCCCAGCCGUAAACGAUGGACGGUAGGUUUGGGGGGACGAUCCCCCCGUGCCGCAGCCAACACAUUAAGCGUCCCGCCGGGGGGAGUACGGCCGCAAGGCUAAAAUUCAAAGGAAGUGACGGGGGCCCGCACAAGCAGCGGAGCAUGUGGCUUAAUUCGAAGCAACGCGAAGAACCUUACCAGGGCUUGACAUAUGGGUGAAGCGGGGGAGACCCCGUGGCCGAGAGGAGCCCAUACAGGUGGUGCAUGGCUGUCGUCAGCUCGUGUCGUGAGAUGUUGGGUUAAGUCCCGCAACGAGCGCAACCCCCGCCGCGUGUUGCCAUCGGGUGAUGCCGGGAACCCACGCGGGACCGCCGCCGUCAAGGCGGAGGAGGGCGGGGACGACGUCAAGUCAUCAUGCCCCUUAUGCCCUGGGCUGCACACGUGCUACAAUGGCCGGUACAGAGGGAUGCCACCCCGCGAGGGGGAGCGGAUCCCGGAAAGCCGGCCCCAGUUCGGAUUGGGGGCUGCAACCCGCCCCCAUGAAGUCGGAGUUGCUAGUAAUCGCGGAUCAGCAUGCCGCGGUGAAUGCGUUCCCGGGCCUUGCACA
This 1321-nucleotide ribosomal RNA is filed under the name uncultured bacterium. RNAcentral's name for it is "bacterial SSU rRNA". It matches the Rfam family "Bacterial small subunit ribosomal RNA", at positions 41 to 1387 of the family's 1533-position model. The record is from RNAcentral.